UCGUUACACAGACUUUCUCUAGUUAUGGUUCAGGAUCAGGCACAAGUAUGCCCUGGCCUGGACCUCAGUGAUUGGACAUCCCUGGGAUACACCUGGUGCAUACCUGGAGCGUACCUUCCAGGCUUCCGGCCACUAGUCCAUCUUGAUCCUGCUCAACCAGUGUCAGAAGGACAACAGGCAUCUGAAUGGAAUCACUUUUCCUGCUGAAACACAAAAUUGGGAACACGCACGGGGUGCUCACUACAGGCCAGGCCUGAUCCUCAGCACUUCACACUCAUUAUGGACUCACAACCGCCAGUGCUGCUGGCCAAGAAUGGUGCUUCCUGCCCAUCCUGUGGGUGAGGUCAUGUGACUAGUUCUAACCAAAGAGCUGUGAGUGAAACUGACACAUAUUAUUCCCAUGCUAGAGCUUAGGGACCCCAUGGACUGCAGCCUACCAGGCUCCUC
Molecule: long non-coding RNA, 447 nt
Organism: Bos taurus (domestic cattle)
Lineage: Eukaryota; Metazoa; Chordata; Mammalia; Artiodactyla; Bovidae
Source: Ensembl